CAGUAGCCGCGGGAAUACGAAGGGUGCAAGCGUUAAUCGGAAUUACUGGGCGUAAAGGGAGCGUAGGCGGACAUUUAAGUCAGGGGUGAAAUCCCAGAGCUCAACUCUGGAACUGCCCUUGAUACUGGGUGUCUUGAGUGUGAUAGAGGUAUGUGGAACUCCGAGUGUAGAGGUGAAAUUCGUAGAUAUUCGGAAGAACACCAGUGGCGAAGGCGACAUACUGGAUCAUUACUGACGCUGAGGCUCGAAAGCGUGGGGAGCAAACAGGAUUAGAUACCCCUGUAGUCCCUGUCUCUUAUAC
RNAcentral lists this ribosomal RNA (301 nucleotides) under uncultured bacterium. RNAcentral's name for it is "partial 16S ribosomal RNA". It matches the Rfam family "Bacterial small subunit ribosomal RNA", at positions 509 to 807 of the family's 1533-position model. The record is from RNAcentral.